CCUACGGGAGGCAGCAGUGAGGAAUUUUCCGCAAUGGGCGAAAGCCUGACGGAGCAAUACCGCGUGAGGGAUGAAGGAUUUUGGUCUGUAAACCUCUUUUCUCAAGAAAGAAGUUCUGACGGUACUUGAGGAAUAAGCAUCGGCUAACUCCGUGCCAGCAGCCGCGGUAAUACGGGGGAUGCAAGCGUUAUCCGGAAUGAUUGGGCGUAAAGCGCCUGUAGGUUGUUUAUUAAGUCCGUUGUUAAAGCCUAGGGCUCAACCCUAGAAAAGCAAUGGAAACUAGUAGACUAGAGUAUGGCAGGGGUAGAGGGAAUUUCUAGUGUAGCGGUGAAAUGCGUAGAUAUUAGAAAGAACACCGGUGGCGAAAGCGCUCUACUGGACCAUUACUGACACUCAGAGGCGAAAGCUAGGGUAGCAAAAGGGAUUAGAUACCCCUGUAGUCCUAGCCGUAAACGAUGGAUACUAGAUGUUGUGNAUAUGUACAGUAUCGUAGUCUACGUACGUUAAGUAUCCGUCCGUCGGGUAGGUACGUCGUCGCGAGGUAGGAACGUACAAGUAGUAGUUAGACGGCGUGUAAGUACGUGUUCGACGGACGACGACGAGGGAGGUUAGG
RNAcentral lists this ribosomal RNA (613 nucleotides) under uncultured bacterium. RNAcentral describes it as "bacterial SSU rRNA". The stretch from base 1 to 516 matches the Rfam family "Bacterial small subunit ribosomal RNA", at positions 338 to 873 of the family's 1533-position model. The record is from RNAcentral.